This 472-nucleotide ribosomal RNA is filed under the name uncultured bacterium. Its description in RNAcentral is "bacterial SSU rRNA". It matches the Rfam family "Bacterial small subunit ribosomal RNA", at positions 355 to 825 of the family's 1533-position model. The record is from RNAcentral.
UGGGGAAUAUUGGACAAUGGGCGAAAGCCUGAUCCAGCCAUGCCGCGUGUGUGAAGAAGGUCUUCGGAUUGUAAAGCACUUUAAGUUGGGAGGAAGGGCAGUAAAUUAAUACUUUGCUGUUUUGACGUUACCGACAGAAUAAGCACCGGCUAACUCUGUGCCAGCAGCCGCGGUAAUACAGAGGGUGCAAGCGUUAAUCGGAAUUACUGGGCGUAAAGCGCGCGUAGGUGGUUCGUUAAGUUGGAUGUGAAAUCCCCGGGCUCAACCUGGGAACUGCAUUCAAAACUGACGAGCUAGAGUAUGGUAGAGGGUGGUGGAAUUUCCUGUGUAGCGGUGAAAUGCGUAGAUAUAGGAAGGAACACCAGUGGCGAAGGCGACCACCUGGACUGAUACUGACACUGAGGUGCGAAAGCGUGGGGAGCAAACAGGAUUAGAUACCCAAGUAGUCCCUGAGCGGGCUGGCAAGGCGCAU